AUUGAACGCUGGCGGCAUGCUUACACAUGCAAGUCGAACGGUAACAGGUUAAGCUGACGAGUGGCGAACGGGUGAGUAAUGCAUCGGAACGUGCCCGGUCGUGGGGGAUAACGCAGCGAAAGCUGCGCUAAUACCGCAUACGAUCUGAGGAUGAAAGCGGGGGACCGUAAGGCCUCGCGCGAUCGGAGCGGGCGAUGUCAGAUUAGGUAGUUGGUGGGGUAAAGGCUCACCAAGCCAACGAUCUGUAGCUGGUCUGAGAGGACGACCAGCCACACUGGGACUGAGACACGGCCCAGACUCCUACGGGAGGCAGCAGUGGGGAAUUUUGGACAAUGGGCGAAAGCCUGAUCCAGCAAUGCCGCGUGCAGGAAGAAGGCCUUCGGGUUGUAAACUGCUUUUGUACGGAGCGAAAAGGUCUCCUCUAAUACAGGGGGCUCAUGACGGUACCGUAAGAAUAAGCACCGGCUAACUACGUGCCAGCAGCCGCAGUAA
Molecule: ribosomal RNA, 492 nt
Filed under: uncultured bacterium
Lineage: Bacteria
Description: partial 16S ribosomal RNA
Rfam family: Bacterial small subunit ribosomal RNA
Source: RNAcentral